This is a non-coding RNA of Ciona savignyi (Pacific transparent sea squirt), 72 nucleotides long. NCBI's taxonomy places the organism in Eukaryota, Metazoa, Chordata, Ascidiacea, Phlebobranchia, Cionidae. The record is from Rfam.
CGGGAUAUAACUCAGUGGUAGAGCAUUUGACUGCAGAUCAAGAGGUCCCUGGUUCAAAUCCGGGUGUCCCCU